Molecule: ribosomal RNA, 1391 nt
Filed under: metagenome
Description: bacterial SSU rRNA
Rfam family: Bacterial small subunit ribosomal RNA
Source: RNAcentral
UUAACACAUGCAAGUCGAACGCACCUUCGGGCGAGUGGCGGACGGGUGAGUAACGCGUGAGAAUCUGCCCUCAGGAGGGGGAUAACGGCUGGAAACGGCCGCUAAUACCCCAUAUGCCGCGAGGUGAAACGAGUUUUCGCCUGAGGAUGAGCUCGCGUCUGAUUAGCUAGUUGGUGGGGUAAGAGCCUACCAAGGCAUCGAUCAGUAGCUGGUCUGAGAGGAUGAUCAGCCACACUGGGACUGAGACACGGCCCAGACUCCUACGGGAGGCAGCAGUGGGGAAUUUUCCGCAAUGGGCGAAAGCCUGACGGAGCAACGCCGCGUGAGGGAUGAAGGCCUCUGGGCUGUAAACCUCUUUUCUCAAGGAAGAAGAUCUGACGGUACUUGAGGAAUAAGCCACGGCUAAUUCCGUGCCAGCAGCCGCGGUAAUACGGGAGUGGCAAGCGUUAUCCGGAAUUAUUGGGCGUAAAGCGUCCGCAGGCGGUCUUGAAAGUCUGUUGUUAAAGCGUGGAGCUUAACUCCAUUUCAGCAAUGGAAACUAGAAGACUGGAGUGUGGUAGGGGCAGAGGGAAUUCCCGGUGUAGCGGUGAAAUGCGUAGAUAUCGGGAAGAACACCAGUGGCGAAGGCGCUCUGCUGGGCCAUAACUGACGCUCAUGGACGAAAGCCAGGGGAGCGAAAGGGAUUAGAUACCCCUGUAGUCCUGGCCGUAAACGAUGAACACUAGGUGUCGGGGGAAUCGACCCCCUCGGUGUCGUAGCCAACGCGUUAAGUGUUCCGCCUGGGGAGUACGCACGCAAGUGUGAAACUCAAAGGAAUUGACGGGGGCCCGCACAAGCGGUGGAGUAUGUGGUUUAAUUCGAUGCAACGCGAAGAACCUUACCAGGGUUUGACAUCCUGCGAAUCCCUUGGAAACGAGGGAAUGCCUUCGGGAGCGCAGAGACAGGUGGUGCAUGGCUGUCGUCAGCUCGUGUCGUGAGAUGUUGGGUUAGGUCCCGCAACGAGCGCAACCCACGUCUUUAGUUGCCAGCAUUCAGUUGGGCACUCUAGAGAGACCGCCGGUGAUAAACCGGAGGAAGGUGUGGAUGACGUCAAGUCAUCAUGCCCCUUACAUCCUGGGCUACACACGUACUACAAUGCUACGGACAAAGGGCAGCAAACUCGCGAGAGCUAGCAAAUCCCAUAAACCGUGGCUCAGUUCAGAUCGUAGGCUGCAACUCGCCUACGUGAAGGAGGAAUCGCUAGUAAUCGCAGGUCAGCAUACUGCGGUGAAUACGUUCCCGGGCCUUGUACACACCGCCCGUCACACCAUGGAAGUUGGCCACGCCCGAAGUCGUUACUCCAACCCUUGUGGAGGAGGACGCCGAAGGUGGGGCUGAUGACUGGGGUGAAG